GAUGAACGCUGGCGGCGUGCCUAAUACAUGCAAGUCGAGCGAACAGACGAGGAGCUUGCUCCUCUGACGUUAGCGGCGGACGGGUGAGUAACACGUGGAUAACCUACCUAUAAGACUGGGAUAACUUCGGGAAACCGGAGCUAAUACCGGAUAAUAUAUUGAACCGCAUGGUUCAAUAGUGAAAGACGGUUUUGCUGUCACUUAUAGAUGGAUCCGCGCCGCAUUAGCUAGUUGGUAAGGUAACGGCUUACCAAGGCAACGAUGCGUAGCCGACCUGAGAGAGGGAUCGGCCACACUGGAGCGGAGACACGGUCCAGACUCCUACGGGAGGCAGCAGUAGGGAAUCUUCCGCAAUGGGCGAAAGCCUGACGGAGCAACGCGGCGUGAGUGAUGAAGGUCUUCGGAUCGGAAAACUCUGUUAUUAGGGAAGAACAAAUGUGUAAGUAACUAUGCACGUCUUGACGGUACCUAAUCAGAAAGCCACGGCUAACUACGUG
This 497-nucleotide ribosomal RNA is filed under the name uncultured bacterium. RNAcentral's name for it is "partial 16S ribosomal RNA". It matches the Rfam family "Bacterial small subunit ribosomal RNA", at positions 28 to 507 of the family's 1533-position model. The record is from RNAcentral.